GAUGAACGUUGGCGGCGUGCCUAAUACAUGCAAGUCGAACGAAACUUCUUUAUCACCGAGUGCUUGCACUCACCGAUAAAGAGUUGAGUGGCGAACGGGUGAGUAACACGUGGGCAACCUGCCCAAAAGAGGGGGAUAACACUUGGAAACAGGUGCUAAUACCGCAUAACCAUAGUUACCGCAUGGUAACUAUGUAAAAGGUGGCUAUACUACCGCUUUUGGAUGGGCCCGCGGCGCAUUAGCUAGUUGGUAGGGUAAAGGCUUACCAAGGCAAUGAUGCGUAGCCGAAUUGAGAGGUUGAUCGGCCACAUUGGGACUGAGACACGGCCCAAACUCCUACGGGAGGCAGCAGUAGGGAAUCUUCCACAAUGGGCGAAAGCCUGAUGGAGCAACGCCGCGUGGGUGAAGAAGGUCUUCGGAUCGUAAAACCCUGUUGUUAGAGAAGAAAGUGCGUGAGAGUAACUGUUCACGUUUCGACGGUAUCUAACCAGAAAGCCACGGCUAACUACGUG
Molecule: ribosomal RNA, 512 nt
Filed under: uncultured bacterium
Lineage: Bacteria
Description: partial 16S ribosomal RNA
Rfam family: Bacterial small subunit ribosomal RNA
Source: RNAcentral